Medicago truncatula (barrel medic) is the source of this 243-nucleotide long non-coding RNA. RefSeq lists it as uncharacterized. The transcript has 3 exons. The record is from RefSeq and is a predicted model, not a curated record. Lineage: Eukaryota; Viridiplantae; Streptophyta; Magnoliopsida; Fabales; Fabaceae.
AAAUCCUCUCUUCAAAUGUCGAGGAGACAUCUGCUGAUGUUAUUGGUCAUGUAAUUGAAAGGGGUGAUGUAAAGGAAACUGAAAAUGAGGGCAGGAAGAGCAAAGUGAUUGAUUUGACUUUGCAAGAUUUGGAGAACAACCGUUUGCAUUGCUCUCUUUGGGGUGAACAUGCUGACAAAAUUGUGAGCUUUUUUGUUAACCACGACAACUCUUCUCCUGUUGUAUUGAUAUUGCAGUUUUGCA